GUUUUUCUAAGUAAAAGAAAAGCUGAAUACAAGAUCUCAUAAAAUGGAUGAAGUACUUCGCCUGGUUACCAAGUCUCAUUUUGAUACUUGUUGAUUUGAAAACUGGUAGUGAGAGGUCAUUAUCAAAAAGCUGUGUCUUCAGAAACUAGCACCUAAAAAUCUGAAUGGAAAUUACGCUACAAGAAAUUCUGACAUCAAACUAGUCAGCUAAACUUCAUUCUUUUGUUCUGACAUUAUAGAACUUGUGAGCUCCAUGUACAUUGCAGCACAUUAAUAUUAAAAUAUUUUAUACAUA
Chelonia mydas (Green sea turtle) is the source of this 295-nucleotide long non-coding RNA. RefSeq lists it as uncharacterized. The record is from RefSeq and is a predicted model, not a curated record. NCBI's taxonomy places the organism in Eukaryota, Metazoa, Chordata, Testudines, Cheloniidae. The transcript has 2 exons.